UCGGACUAUUGUCGCAAUAUUUUGGUCCUGGCUCCAAACAGAAAAGAUGGCGCCGACCAUAAGCUGCAACUCAAGGUUACAAACCGAUACGCACCCAGAGAGAACCCCAGCAAACACGGGCAGAUCAUGAAAACACCACAAACAAAAAGCCCAUUCGGUUUGGGAAAAAAAGGACCUUUCUAUUCCAAGGCUUUUCAUGUACUGUAGUUGUUUCCAGGCUGGCCCAUCCAAUAUUGAGGAUCCAGUGUUUCAAACCAUAUGGCAGAGGAUAAAAGUUCUUCACAGGCUGCAUGACCUGACAUUUACUAUGUUAGGACCAAGGUAUGGAUCACCAGUAUUUCUGUUAAGGGAGUGAAGAUCGAUACCAAAAAUAAGUCUGUCUCAUGAUCACAUUGUGGGAAUAUGAACUGUCUUCUGCUUCUUUGCUGCUGUUGUGAGCAGCUGUGUGUUGAUAACACCUUUUGUUCAGAGUGUUCUCACAUUAAAUAG
Long non-coding RNA from Thunnus maccoyii (southern bluefin tuna), 489 nucleotides. RefSeq lists it as uncharacterized. The record is from RefSeq and is a predicted model, not a curated record. Lineage: Eukaryota; Metazoa; Chordata; Actinopteri; Scombriformes; Scombridae. The transcript is spliced from 3 exons.